GACGAAGGUGGCAAGCGUUGUUCGGAAUCACUGGGCUUAAAGGGCGCGUAGGCGGCCUGUUCCGCGCCGGGUGAAAUCCCUCGGCUCAACCGAGGAAUGGCUCGGCGAACAAACAGGCUUGAGGCAGGUAAGGGCGUGAGGAACGCUUGGUGGAGCGGUGAAAUGCGUAGAUAUCAAGCGGAACGCCGGUGGUGAAGACGUCACGCUGGGCCUGUCCUGACGCUGAGGCGCGAAAGCCAGGGGAUCAAACGGG
Molecule: ribosomal RNA, 253 nt
Filed under: uncultured bacterium
Lineage: Bacteria
Description: partial 16S ribosomal RNA
Rfam family: Bacterial small subunit ribosomal RNA
Source: RNAcentral